UACAGAGGUGGCAAGCGUUGUUCGGAAUUACUGGGCGUAAAGGGCGCGUAGGCGGUUCGUCAAGUCCUGUGUGAAAUCCCCCGGCUCAACUGGGGAACUGCACAGGAAACUAGCGGGCUUGAGUUCGGGAGAGGGAAGCGGAAUUCCGGGUGUAGCGGUGAAAUGCGUAGAUAUCCGGAGGAACACCGGUGGCGAAGGCGGCUUCCUGGACCGACACUGACGCUGAGGCGCGAAAGCUAGGGGAGCAAACGGG
This 253-nucleotide ribosomal RNA is filed under the name uncultured bacterium. RNAcentral's name for it is "partial 16S ribosomal RNA". It matches the Rfam family "Bacterial small subunit ribosomal RNA", at positions 524 to 776 of the family's 1533-position model. RNAcentral also lists the same sequence under 1 other name. The record is from RNAcentral.